RNAcentral lists this ribosomal RNA (402 nucleotides) under uncultured prokaryote. RNAcentral describes it as "bacterial SSU rRNA". It matches the Rfam family "Bacterial small subunit ribosomal RNA", at positions 355 to 774 of the family's 1533-position model. The record is from RNAcentral.
UAGGGAAUAUUAGAAAUGGACGAAAGUCUGAUCUAGCAACACCGCGUGUGCGAAGAAGGCCUUCGGGUCGUAAAGCACUUUUUGGAAGGAAUAGGAAGGAAUGUACUUCCAGAAUAAGUCUCGGCUAACUACGUGCCAGCAGCCGCGGUAACACGUAGGAGGCGAACGUUAUCCGGAUUUACUGGGCGUAAAGCGCGUGUAGGUGGUUCUGUAAGUAGGGCGUGAAAGCUCCUGGCUCAACUGGGAGAGGCCGUUCUAAACUACAGAUCUAGAGGAUGGUAGAGGGAGGUGGAAUUCCAGGUGUAGCGGUGGAAUGCGCAGAUAUCUUGUGGAACACCAGUGGCGAAGGCGGCCUCCUGGACCAUUCCUGACACUCAGACGCGAAAGCUAGGGUAGCAAACG